Molecule: long non-coding RNA, 16776 nt
Filed under: Citrus sinensis (sweet orange)
Lineage: Eukaryota; Viridiplantae; Streptophyta; Magnoliopsida; Sapindales; Rutaceae
Description: long non-coding RNA (CSIN_LNC002689)
Source: RNAcentral
GCAUUCGAGGGAGCAAAUGCAAGAGCUGGUUGAGAAAAUGAAGAGUGUUCUUGUGCAGAAUGUGGGAUAGCUAGAAAUGCUGAUGUGGUACUUUUAUGGGUUCGUGCUCUAUGUUGGGCACCUGCCGUACCGUACAUCCGCCUUGGCCGUACAGCAGAAGCCACUAAAUUUUAAUUGUUGGCAUAAUGUUGGCAUAAUAACAUUAAUGAAUGUUUCAAGACUUAUAAUUAAUUCUUAUUAAUGGUUACAUAUUGUUGAAUUUAAAUAGAAAGAGGAAGAGACCUUGUAAUCUUUUGUAAUAUAAUAAUUAUUUUUUAUUUUUAAUAUUUUGUAAUGUAAUUAUCUUUUAAUCUCAACCAAUAUCUUAGAUAAUAGAGAAUAUAAGAAAAUGAGAAAUAAUGAUAUCACAUCACCUCUCGUAGUCCCAACUUUUAUAUAGGGAAAUUAUCAUUUUACUACUAAAGUUUUACUGACAUAUCAUAUCAGUAUUAAGGUUUGCCGAAAAGUACAUUUUACUACCAAAGUUUUGCGUCGUUAUCAAUUCACUACCAUUCCGUUAAGAAAAAAUUAAUGUUUGACGGAAAUUGAGUUAAAAGUCGAUUUUACCCCCAAGAGUUUAGUAGUAAAAUGAUAAUUCCCCUAAAAAUUCGGUAAUAAAAUGAUAAUUCCCCUAAAAAUUCGGCAGUAAAAUGAUAAUUCUCCUAAAAAUUUGGUAGUAAAAUGAUAAUUUAUUUAUCAAAUUAACAGAUAUUUUACUCUUACAGCUGGAAAUGUCUUUGAUGCUCUUAUGACAUCAACAAAUUUUUAACGUUGUUAACAGAAUAGUAGUGAAUUGAUAACGGCACAAAAUUUUGGUAGUAAAAUACACUUUUUGGCAAACAUUGGUACUGACAUGAUAUGUCAGUAAAACUUUAGUAAUAAAAUGAUAAUAACCCUUAUAUAUAUACAUACAUACAUACAUAUAGAUUUAAGUCAUUAUCGCUUUAUAUAUCGAUCUAUCAAAGAAUUUGGUCAAACUGUAAGAGCAUUUCUAUAGUUUGUUCUCAUCACUGAUAUUCUUUUCGACACAUUUUAUAUUACUUCAAUAAAUUAUAUUCGGAUUAACUUAGAGCAGCUUUGUGACUGUUUUUUUAAAAUUUGGAGGAAAUUAUGUGAAUUUUAAAUUGAGGUCAAUGAUGACUAUUUUAUGUAAUAGAAGAGCUUCCUACAUCUACAUAGGGCCUCAAGAUUGACUCUAUAUAUAUAUAAGUGACAAAUUAAAUAGAUGAAAUGUAACUGUAAACAGCACGAGGCAUGUUAAGUAAUUUGACAAGCGAAGUGACAACACUUUUGUGUUGUUACAAUUAUCUGCCAUACACCUAAUUUGUUAAUGAGUAGAGUUGCAUUAUUAAUGUUAGUUGCUUGCAGCUUUCAGGCACAUAACAAAUGGCCUACAUUUUUUAUUAAUUUUGUUGAAUUUAUGUGUUGUUUCACAUUGAUGGUGAAUCAUCAAUUUCCCAAGCUUUCCUCAAAACAGGAGAUGCACACAAAUCUGCAAUAUUUAGACAUUUUUAUUCAAUGUCUGUUUUUCAAAAGCUUUUUAGCCAUGUGUUUGCCGCAAAAAUUCGAUGAAUGUUUUUUUUUUUUGUGAUUUUUUUUUCAUAUGCAAUUGCAAGUUGAGAAAAUAUCUCUGGAAAUAUAUGCUUACACCAAUACAGUAUUCCAAUCUUAUCAGUAUAUUGACCAUACAACCAAACGUGUGGACAUGCAUGUAGCUGGUGCAAGUUUAUUCAUAUUAAGUAAUGAGCUUGUUAUUUUUAUAAAAAAUUUGAGCCAUUAAUCUCAUGUCAUAUAACAGUAAAUAUUCAAAAUCAAAAGUUCCAUUUAAUCAUACCAAUAUAAUAAUGGAUUACACGUGAUUAAUGGUUCAAAAUUUGUUUUAGAAAGUUCAGUUAAAAAUAACUUUAUCCAGUAAGUAAUAACAUGUAUGUAUAUAUUUUUUUAUUUAUCGGUAUCAAUAGAUGUAAAUAGUGAAUUAUCUUGAGAUAGUACAAGAAGCUUGGAAUUGAAAUUAACCACACUUGGAUCUGACUGCACUUGCAUACUCUUCAAAUCAAAUGAAUAGCAUAUAUGGCAGUCAUUUCAACUAUGGAAAGCAACUCUUUGCUCUAGGAAUUGAGAUCCUUUCAAUAUAAUUUUAAAGAAAACUUCAAACGUAGUGCACUUGCAGAAUCUAACCAAAACCGAACUUGGUUCUUUCAAAAAGUAAUUUGUAUCCAUUCUGUACCAGACAAAGAUGGCCAAGUUGUUUGAUUUUUUUUUUUUUAUAUGAAUUUGAGAAAACUGAUCUUAUGUCUAACAAAUUGAUAUGAUGUUUUCUUAUAAAAGAAACAAGAAAAAAAAGUGAUUCUCACAAAUGUGGACACCACUAAAUAGCUUACCUAUAUAUAUGAAAGAAUCCCUCUAUAUUUAGUUUGAGUUAGGAUUCAAGCAAUACGUUUUAUUUUUAUAUGUAUUUGCCCAAGAAGUUGGCAGGGAAUCCAAACAAGUUUGGAGUGAUUUGGUUUGCUACUUCUUUAAUCAUGAUUAAACAAUUUUGAAUGCUCUUAAUACAACUACUGAAAAUUAAAAAAAUAUAUAUAUUAAAAAGGAAUGUAAAAAUAAAUAAAGAAACGUGCAGGAGAGUGCAAGGAGAAAGAGAUUCCGUGUUCUGAUAAAAAUUGAAACGAAUAUGAUUUUUUUUUUUUAAAUUUAGUCAAACAAAUUAUAGGACUUAAAUGUUAAGUUUCAAAACCAUUAGCCUAUUUUUUAACAUACAGCAAACAUUUGGGACUACAAAUAAUUAAAUCAUAAACUGCCAAAACUGGGACCGAAGCAACAGAGUUUUGUCCAAAUUUGCAUGUUUAUUUGGAUGGUCUCUACUACAAAUAAUUAUAUCUCUAAAUGUGCAUGAAGAGAGAAUUAUUGAAAAAUGAGAAUGAGAGAUGAAAGCCACUAAUGUCAAUAUUUCGUCAUUAUUUAAACUUUGAUUUUUGAUUAACCAUUUCACUUUCGCUUUUUGUUCACGCGCACUAAACAGUAGACUAUACACACUAACAAAGAUUAGAAAAGAUACACUAUUUAGGUAGUGUUUACCUGUUGGAGUGGGAGUGUGGAGUGUGGAUUCCUCUCACUCCAGUGUUUACUUACCUUAAAAAGGGGAGUGUGGGAGUGGGAAUCCGUGGGUCCCACUCAAUUUUGGAGUGGAGAGUGGAAUUCUCACUCCCAUGGGGGGAGGUAGGAGUGGGAAUCCACUCCCCUCUCUUCCCAUUAUAUGCUUAAAUUUUGUACUAUAUUAUCAAUAAUAAUAUUUCAUUUGUGUUGCUAUUAUUAAUAAUUUUUAUUCACAUAAUUUAAAUUAAAAUUAAUAAAAAAUUAUGAUUUACAUAAUUAAGAAUAUUAGUAAUUAUUAUUAAUUUAUAAAUAUAAUAAAAUAUUUAUUUUAUUUUUCAAAUAUAUUUUUUUAUUAAUUUUUUAAUUACAAAUUAUAAUUCUGUACAUAAAGAUAAAAUUGUAAUUUAAAACAAUUUACUCCCAAUCCAAGACAAAGUAAACAAAUAAUUGAGAUUCUGAUUGACAAUCCAUACUUUUAUUUAAUCUAAGUAAACACUCUACUCUCACUCUCACUCCACACUCCUAAUUCAAAGAUUCUCACUCCAAUCCAAAAAGUAAACGCAGAGCCAUCAGUUUUAGAUGGGUUGGCCAAACCCUCCUCUUCUUUCCUUAAGCGUUUGUGUAUGAGAAUGCGUUCACCAAAUAGAAGUGCGGCAUUUGGAAGCCUUGUCAAUGAAAGCACUUGCUCUCGAAUGUGUUCAUUUCUAGAAGCACUUGCAACACCUUUUUACUCUCGAAAACUUCUUUUUGUCUGUUUGAGUUGAAGCACUACGAAGUGGGCUUGAAAGAAGUUUGUCAUUAUCCUACUUCUGAAAGCACUAUUGACAAUACUAGAAAUAUUCUCAAAAACACCCAAAAAGUUGAAAGUGAAAGCAGUUUUGAGAGGUGACCCAGAUGGGCUGUAGGUGUAUCAUAAGGCGAGAUUGCAUAGACCCAGAUUGAUCCUCCACUUUGGCCAUUUCAGCUGUAGUGAAAACAGAAGAUAUCAAAAGCUGAGGCAACCGGUGGUGCCAGCCAAAGAAUUUUUCAGUCUCAGAAAACACACUACAAUUUUUUUUUUUUUUUAAAUCUAAAGAAGAACAGAUGUCCAACAAUGGCAUGCCCAAAAAAUCAUCAAUUCGCCAGUUUCAAUCAUAUAAGAGAUGCCGAAUGAGAAACAAUGGAAACUGCACAAUUUGAAUGUCAUUGAAUGUUCUUAAUAUCAAGACGUCUUAAGCCGAAGGGUAGCUCCAAUGACUCUUUUUCCGUACCAAAUGUGAGAUUUCUAAUCUACAUAACACGUCUGUUCCCUAUAAAUGGAACUGGUUAGUGGGUGCCAAAUAAUUGGUUAGCUUGUCUGUCUUUACAAUGGUGCUGGAGUUCAUCACAGAUGCUAUCAAAUAGACAGCCAUGAUGUACCUUGAAGGAUGAAAAUCUGUUGGUAGUUAUUUUCGGGACAAAAUUAGGACAGGUAACGCAAUACUUGAUUAGCUCUUCUCAGGACCUACAAGUUGUUUUCGGCUUUCCAAAGGAGCAUAACUAUCCAUUGAACGACUGACCUGAUGAUUCUGAUGAAUUGAGAUUUAUAUUAUUAACAAGUAACAAUCCAGGUUCCCAUAUAACCUCUAAGAAAGGAACAAAAAAUUGUAGAUUUAAGAUACAAGAACUUAAUUUCCCUGUAUGCUUUUUUGUGCUAGAGGAAUGCUAACCUCUCGAGACCCUUAUGAGCUUAUUACCAAUAAUCUCUACACGAACAAGCCCCUCCUUCAAAGUGAUGGAACCGGUUUGCAUCUCUGACGAUAAUCACCCUCCUUGUUAUAGCUGAUACGUGCUUGAUAAAUGAGUGGCAGUCACCACAAACUCUCAGAUUCUUCAUAAUCCUAAUAUGAGUGCCUUCAGGUGUGGCAAUAAGGCCGAAUGCAAUUGCCAACUUCUCACUAUGUGAAUACAAAUUUCCAACCUUAACUUCUUCAUCAACAUCAUGCAACUCAAAGUUUGUAUCAGGGAUAUAACCAGCCAACUCCAAUUUCUCGCUUAACGUCACCAGCAUUCGAUAGAUUUCCUCUGACUGAGGAUGAGUAGUAUCACCAACACUAAAUUGAUGAAUUUUAUUCUCCACCUCAAUCCAAGUCCAACCAGGAAUUUUCUUUAAUCUCCUACGUGUCAUCAGAUCCCUAAUCUUUGCCACAUCUUGCCACCUACCAGCAUUUGCAUAAAUAUUGGAAAGUAGUACAUAAUGCCCUGGAUUCUGCGGCUGUAGUUCAAGUAGGGAUUUUGCAGCCAUUUCUGCUAGGUCUACAUUCUUGUGAAUUCUACAUGCUCCAAGCAAAGCACCCCAUAACCCCUCAUCUUUUUCAACACUCAUGCUUUCAAUCAAUUUCAAGGCCUCAUCAAGUCUUCCAGCACGUCCCAAAAGAUCAACCAUACAAGUAUAGUGUUUCACAUCUGGCCUAACAGCAAAAUCAUCCCACAUUGAAGAAAAAAGCCGAAGACCCUGUUCAACCAAGCCUGUGUGACUACAAGCAUAUAGCAGGGAUACAAAGGUGAUCCUGUUUGGUAAUACCCUGCUACUUAACAUCAUGGGGAACAAAUCAAGAGCUUUCUUUCCCUGCCCAUGAUACCCAUAAGCUGCAAUCAUUGCACUCCAAGAAAUUACAUUCUUUUGUCGCAUCCUAUCAAAGAUUUCCCUUGCAGAAUCAAUACUCCCACACUUAGCAUACAUAUCAAUCACCGCAGUCCCCAAAAUCACAUCCAAUAAAAAUUUAUUCCUUGUUAAAAAAUCAUGAACAAGUCUAGCCUUUUGUAUAGACCCCAGUUUCGCACAAGCAUAAACAACACUCACCAUAGCCGUAUUAUCCAGCACAACACCUGCCCCUCUCAUCCUCUCGAAUAAAUCCCAGGAUUCAUUAGCAUUUCCGGACUCCGCACACGCACCCAUCAUCACUGUCCAAGUGACAAGGUCCCUACUUGGCAUUUGAUCAAACAACUGCCUAGCAUCAUCAAUAACUUUACACUUAGCAUACAUAUCAACAAGAGCUGCACAUACAAACUGAUCUAUAUCCAACCCAGAUUUCAGAACAAUGUCAUGAAUCAAUCUUCCCAUUACAAUAUCCUUUCUAUCUCUACAAGCCCUAAUGACGAAAGGCAAAGUAUAGCUAUCUAAUUGCAUGCCACAUCUAAUAAAUUCCCUAAAAGUCUCAAAACAGUUUAUAAAAUCACCAACUUUAGAAAACCCUCCAACCAUUACACUCCAAGAAACUGAAUCUCUCUCUUUCAUCCCAUUGAAUAAUGCAUGAGCAUCAGUUAAGGCUUUGUGUAGGGCGUAAAUAUAAAGCAGUUUGUUUGCAACAAUGAGAUUAGUUAGAGUACCACUGGCAACAAUUUGGGCAUGCACUUGUCUUAUCUGAAAAAUGUUUCUACAGCUAAGUAGUGAAGAGAUAAUAAACUUUGGAUCGACAGAGCGUGUAAAUUGACAAUCUGGUACCGUUUGCAUGGGGGCUCGUGGGUUUAUGGGAUUUUGUUCAUGACCAUGAGGUUCCAAUGGGAUAGCAGCAGUUGUGGAAGAUGAGAAAAAGCGAAUCUUUGCACUCGUAGAGAGAAUGAAGCCAUGCUUUUUGAGUUUAGACAUUGGAUUUGGAAUUGAACGAGUCAAAACAAUCAGAAAUCAUAUGAAUCUUUUAUAAUUUUUGAUUGUGUUAGAGUGCGGGCUGAACAAAUUAACAAAUAGAAAUAGAAAAAGAAAAUAAUGAAGAUGGUUCUUUUAAUUAUAAAUAAAUGAAUCAUUCCAAAUAACGCCAUGUUUACUUCAAAGCCAACCAGAAUGGAAGAAGCCAUGAUAUUUCUUAAUGCAUCCCAGUACUCUCAAUAUGAAACUUAAAAACCUAACUGUGGAGUGUACCUCAAUUUACAUUCUUCUAAUUUAACCACAAUAUUAAAUCCCAAGAUGGGAUUUAUUCAUACUAGAGAAAUUACAAACUAGCAACCCUCCGCCUGUGCUUUUCUGAAACAUUACAAUCAUCAUUUUGCGAUAAUAAACAAGGUACACUAGUGAUACAGAAACAAAAAAUUUCCAUGAGACCGCGCCGAGUUUAGUUGAUUUGGGAAAGGGGCGAUCGUGGUAUCAGAGACGGUUUUAAUUCCUUCACGUCAAAUGAUUCAUACGAAUUGUUUUCCCGGAAUUCCUCUAGCAGGGUCUCCAUUGGCAUGGCUCUAAGUGACUCGAUAGUACCUUUACUAGGUACCUCCGAUUCACAUCUUGUAGGAGUUGUACCAGUAUGCUCAUAAUCCUGCACAUAAUUUUCAACAUUUGAACCAAAUUAUUUUGAGUAAUUUUGUUCAAGUCAGUGUUGAUAAAAGAAGAAAAAAAAAAUUAAGUUGAAUACUAUACCAUAUAUCGUUGCUGGAAGGUUUCUUGAGCCUUCUCUUUUAUUGAUGCCGACUGGGCAGAGUGACUCUCCCGGAAAAGAUUGAUCGUCUUUUCAUGAGCCUUUACAUCAUCCAAAACUUCAGCUAUUGAUGCCUGCUCCUGCUCUGAUGCACCUGAACCACAUUCGAAAAUCAAAAUAUCACACCUCCAACUACAAUUAUUAUUGGUCAUUUUACUAGUAUGAUACUUUUUAAAUUUUACGUUUUAAAUGAAAUUGAACAAGAUUAUCACUAAUAAACUCAAGAUCCUUUUAAGACAAACUCACUAGAAAUGAGCUGAAGGGCAUCUUCGCUGCUUUUAGCCACUUCUUCCUCCGUGGCAACUCGAGCUGUGUCAACCUCAACAUCAUGCUGCUCAUUACUAUAAGAAGCAUUCCUGUAGCAAAUAAUUGAAAAUUUAACCUACCGCAGUGGAUAUGAAAGCACAUGGUUCUAAAUAUUAAACAAAAUGAUGAUAACUGUUCUAGUCACAGUCUCAAAUCUCAAUGACCAAAAAUAUGGUUGUAUCCACUAAUUCCAGUUGGAACUGAUUGUUAGUACUUAUUAGUCACAGUUGAUGUUUAAUCUACUACAAUCAUAUGUGGAAUUUAAAGUGUGUACAGAUUAAGCAAGACUAAUACAAAGCCUUAUCUGUUUACUGAGGGAAAAUACAAAGCCUGCCGAUCACCGACCUGGCAAGCGAAAUCAUGCUCGAUACAUGUUUACUCUCCAUCUCAUUCACUGAUUCAUAUGUCCUCUUCCAAUGCCCAAAAGCUGACUCACCAGAGUUUACACUAAAACAAGCACAAUUUUAGGAAAGCUAAUAAAGAAGGAUUUAAGGAAAUGGAUCCAGACCAAUAUGCAGUAAUACAAACAAACCUACCACUCCUGUAGAAGCAAUUCCAUUCUACAAUGUUUGGCAGAAGAGUGGUCAGCACCAUCGUUGGCAUCGUUGUCAGCUUGCGUGGCAAAUGCCUGCCAUUUUCGCUUAGCAUCAUUAGUUAUGCCCUCCACUGAUGAAACAUGUCCGUCUAAAAAUAGCUUGCUUGAAACAGCAUUUUCUCUAAAAUCAACAAGCCUUGCGUCCACCUGUAUUUUCACCAUGAGUCUUUCUUCAGCCAUAUUAAUAGAUAUUAGAACAGAAUAAUGAAAAAGGAGAAAGCAUGGACAAACCAAUUCUUUUUGACGACGCAUGUGACUAGAGACUAGGCUAGUCACAUCAGCAAUAAGCUUCUCUGUAUCAGAUUUUGUUUGCUCCUGCACAGAAUACACUAGAGAAGUUAGAAACAGCAAUAUAAUGUCUACCUGAUCAUAAAAAUGUACAUCAUACCUCAUAAGCCUUCUGAAAAUCAGCAAUGCUCUUCAUUUGAUUCUCAUCAGCUUGCACAGCAUAAUUUUCUAAUGAUUUUGACUCUUCCAAAAGCUUCUGUAGAAAUCCAUUAGUGUGUUCAGCAAUGUCCUUUGUUCGCUCAAUGGUAACUUGGAACCUCUGUUGGAUUUCAAAAAGGCACGGCAUAUUAAAGAUUUAGAUCUAACAGUUGAAAUAAAAAAGAAAAAGCAACCACAAAGAAUUAUGAUAGAUACACGAUGCAACAAUAAUGAACAACCAUAAUCAACACGGAAUAAUUGGUUAAUUGCAAAAAGAUUUGAAGUUGUUUCUCAACAGAUAAACAUUUAGACAAUCAAAGUGAAGAAAAUAUAGAUCAAAGAUUGUACAAAUGAUAAAGGAUUCCAUCUAAAAUACCAGCACAGAAACAAGCUAAAGAUCAACAUAAAAACCUGACGCAUUUCCCUUGCAAAGAUAGCCAUUUCUCCUUGUUGAGUCGAAAGAGUAGUCUGAAGAUUUUCAUAUAUUGAAGCAGCUUCUCUAGCCUCUGAUGCUAGAAACUGAUUAAUAGAAAAAAAUGUGGAGUAGUAAAUUAUUAGAGGGAGCCAAAUCAUCAUAUAAUUAUGGUGCAGAAAAGGAAACAGAGAAACACAAUGCAUUGUUUCUGGAACAACUGUUACAUACUUCUUUAAUAGAUUCUGAAUUAGAAGAAGCAAAAGCCGAAAUUUCCUCUAAAUUCGCAUUUGAGCAGGCCUUAUGCAAACGCACAACAUUUUGUACUGCCUCCAUGUGAGAGCAGUACAAAGCCCUUGAUGCUGUUACUUUCUUCUUCAAAUCAAUAACCGCCUAAUGACAAGGUUUAGAGGUAAAAGAACAAGUUGGUUACAAAGUUUUAUUAGUCUUAAUUGCUAAAAAGAAAAAGAACAGAACAUAAAAACAAUAUAACACUAGAAAUCUAUGACAACAAACAGCUUUAAAUGUAACCAAACUAUAUCAAAUACCUUUUCAUGUAUGCCUAAAAGAGAAUGGCAAAGUUUCUCAACAUGUUUAAGAUGUUCAUUUUGUUGACACGUAGAUAAGUCCAAAAUGUCGCAAAGAGAACCAAUUUGCUGAGCAAGCUCAACUUGGAAAUUUUCAACAACUGAUCUGUUAUCGGCAUUCAGUUUGUCUUCUCUUCCUGUAACAAACCAUCUCAGAGUCAGAUGUUUUGUUACUGAUGAAAAAGAUUUACUGAUUAUAACUGAAGGAAAAGCUAAAUACCUAUCUUUUGAAAAAGCAACACAUUAUCCUGAAGGGCUUUCUCCAAGUUACCCCGCAAAGUGCAAGCUUGAUGAGUCAAAGCAUUUUCUGUUUCAUCAAAAGAAAUUAAACAUGAUAAUAAUUUAUAAAACAUAAUCAAAAUUUUAAGAAGAAAGUUUAUACAGACCUGCUUUUUUCUGUUCAGAAAUAAUAAAAUCCUUCUCUUUUAAAGCAUAUUGACACUUCUUCAAUUGUUCCUCCGCGUUAUUAAGCAAUUUUAUUGUUUGGUCAAGGUUACUCUGCAUUUAUUACAUAUUCUAUAAGAAACCAGGAAUAAAUCCAGAAAGAUAAAUAACCAAAAACGUAUCAGAAAACUCACCUCAGUUAAUUCAAGUUUGGUAGUCAAAUCUGAGCAUUGCCGAACCUGGCAAUCGUAUUUGUCUUGCAACUCCUCGAGUUGCUGGUUUUAGGAAUAUACCAAAAUGUGAUAAGUUAAAAUUUGUCUAUCAUGUCAGAAAUUUGCAUGGCAUAUGUGCCAAUUAUUAAAUCUGAAAUUAACAACAAAUAGACUAACCUUCUGAUGGGUUUCUAACUGAACACCCAUUUGUUCAAUCUGAUCAGCCAUUGCCUAAAUGCAAGAAAGAGAACACUAGGGUCGGAUGAGUAUUCUAAAUAUUGGGUGGACAAAUGGAACUUCACAAACAAGUAUCCAUAGCAGUAUAUGUAUAUAUGCACUGCUUAAAUUUAGGAAUGAUGCAAUACCUUUCUCUCACUCUCCUCCUGAUAGUAUCGUUCCUUUGGGAUAUAGACACCAUUUUUCUCACGUGCAGCGUAAACCUCUGGAGACAAUGUUAAAUAGAGUUAACAUCUUAACCCAUUAUGCAUUACACAGAACAAUUACUUGCUUUCAUGCAUUUUCGCCACCGACUACUGUGAAAAGCAUCUCACCUGCCUUAAGUCGAUCAAUUUCACCAUAAAGGUCUUUUAUAAGAGUUGAUUUCAUCAUCUUUUGGUUGACCUACAAACAGCAAUUAACAAAGAAGGAACUCAUGAGAAUACAUUUAAUAAUAUAGACAUCAUUACCCGAUAUAUGAGAAAUCAUGAUCUUUAUACACGCAAAUAGAACAGGGACAAACCUCAGGUUUAUUCUUAAUAUUCUUUGCCCUGUGUGCAUAGUCCAAUGUACUCAAGGUCUCCUCCAGACAAUGAACAGCUGGUGAAACUGUAGCUAUAAUGCAUGUCUUGGUUCUUCCACCGAGAGAAUCACGAAGUAACCGUGUUAGCUUGCUAUCCCUGAAACACAAUUCAACCUUACACUCAGAUUCAAUAAUAAUCAGAUUAUGGAGACAAUCAAAAUUACAUAAAAAUGUUGCUUAAACCUGUAUGGAAUAUGACCAAGAUGCUCUACAAGUGCAUUAAUCACUCGCCCUAGAGUAAGUAAGCUUUUGUUAAUUUCACCAGCUUCCCUUGCACGACCCUAUUAAACAAUAAGAUCAAAUCAAUGCAUUAACAAUUUCAGCUUUUCCACAUUAAAAUUCAAAAUCUAAUAUGAAUUUUCACAAAAAGCUAAUUGUACAUUACCUCUCUAGCACCAGAUCGUGAUAUAUUUUCAGAGCCAGCUAAAUCAACUAAAUUUAACUUGCCACACUUUAUAAGUUCUUCUCCUUCUGGUGUUGCUUCCUUGAUAUGUAUUGUAAUGGAAAACAAAGAAUGCGAUCGACUGAAACAUAGGAUAGAUUCUUAGUAAUAUAGAAAUUUCAACUUUGACUUUAAACACGAAAAUAGCCAAAUCAGCUACCUUGAUUGCUUGUUUAACAAAGUUUCAGCAGUUCGGCGUUUUGCAGACCCUCGCUCCAAUAGAGUAAAAAUUUCACUCGCACUAGUGACAAUUUCCUCCUCCAGACCCCUUACAAGUACUCCACCUUUUCCAUCCUCCAUAAGAGGUAAUUGUUUCUUUUGCUUAUCCUCAACAGCAGCCCUUGAAAUUUCAUCUGGGGCAAGCAGAUCAGUGAUCUCCUCAUUGUAUAACUCUAAGAAAGUGACUUUCACACUGUACUCUGCAUUUUGACUCUCAAGAGUAUCAAAAAUUUGCUGAACAGCUCUGGGUAUAACCCCUGCUUCUGGAGGUAAUUCUCCAUUGGGCCCACUCUGUCUCAUUGAACAUAACUACCAAAUGUAAGAUUCAUUGACAAAGAGAAGAAAGGGUAUUUGCAAGAAUCUAACAACAGGACACAUAGUAUACCUUCGACCUUUUGCAUUCCCCCUCCAUUGUGUAUGUCUUCCCUGUUCCAGUUUGACCAUAUGCAAAUAUGGUGCAAUUGAAACCUUCUAAAACUUCAUUCACAAUUGGAACCACCGCUUGUUCAUAAAGAUCUCUCUGCUGAGCUGAGGGACCAAAAACCUACACAAUCCUUAAAUACAACUUCAGAAUCGACCACAAAAUAACACAUUGAAAUAUAACUUCCUAACACAGCAUACUCUGAGAAAACAUAUUUACCAAAACCUAUUAAAGCUCUACUAGAUAAGAACUAGAUCAAAAGUUUAGUGGAACAAGGUAUAUUCACCAAACAGAAGGCAUCCAAUCAACAAACAAAGGCACUAUUCAUGUCACAGUAAGGCCACAGAUCGAAUUAAAAGAAUCCCAACUAAGACAUUCCACAAUAACCAUUCACUUUUAAUGUGACAUAGACCUUCCCAAGGACAAACAGUUAUCAUUCACAAACUAUAAAUAAUACCAUUAAUUACAACUGAAACUUUACUCAAAUCAAACUAACUACAUUGACUUUUCAAUGAUUGUUGAUAAGUGUGAUUAAUAUGGAAGACAUUUUCACAAAAUUUCUGUUUAGCAACAGUGCCUGGAAUUGAAGUUCAACCAUAGCAUAAACAAUGAUCCAUAAGUAAAACUUAUCUUAAUCCAAAAACAAAGUUACUAAUAUUUGACCAAACUUAGUAAUAUGAAGUCCGUACAGGCGUUCAAAUCACAAAUGAAUUAGCUUAAUUACUUAAUUUUCAAAUCCAAAACAAAAAAUAACUGAAUUUAAAAAGAAAUUACCUUAUCGAAAGUAAAAACCCUAUCGAUAUGCUUCCCGGCAAUACUCUGCGAAACAGCGACUUCUCUUUGAUACUCAUUACAAGUCACCACUUGCGGCGCGUUAUUUUUCAACUCUUCUUCACUAAACGGCCUGAGAAACCACUCAAAACGAGAGAACCAUCAGCAAUUACAUUAACAAUCAAAAUAGAAGGAAACAUCGAAGCACGAAACCCUAACGGUCACCUGCAACGGAGAAGUACUUGGACGUUAACGCCUUUCUCUUUUUCGUGGCGACCCGACAUUUUGAACCGGCGAUUAGCGGGAGAAUCGCACGAACCUAUCGUGUUACUUGUUAAUUUUUGCUCAGAUCUUCUUCGAAUGUGAGAUUUUGAAACUUUUUUUUAUUUUUAUUUUUUUCAAAAUCUAUCUCUGUCUCUCUUCCUAUCUCCGGAAUCGAAUCUGAAAUGAGAGAGAGCGGGCUGAAGUGAGAUUUUGAAUUUUUUGGGGAGCCGCUCGCUUGGUUAUUUAUUCAACGGUUGAUUUUUUAGGGCUGUUGAUCGACGGUCUACGUUUGUGCUAAAUUUGAAUUUGGUUGAUUUGACUAAAGUACCCUGAAAUGUAUGCCUAAUCUAAGUCUUUGACAACAAAAUUGGGCUUCGGCCAUAAGACUAGCCUCGGCCCAAAAAUACAAUACUUUGGGCCGACCCAAUAUUUUUUACCCGACCUACGUGGAACAUAAACAGUGAUGGGAACAAAAAUCUCUUGCAAAACAAGAAUCAAGGGCGUGCCUACUGCCUUGCAACGGAAAAGCCCAAAAACUCAUUAAAAUGUCGGGUAUGGAAAAUGUAAUAGAAUUUUUUUUUUUUCAAAAAUUAGAAUAUUAAUUAAUGUCAGGUCCUAACAAUCGUUUCUUAAGUAUUCAUAUAAUUCCAAAGUGGCGGGUAGAUCAAGCAAUAACUAUAUCCCGGAGUAAAAUUAGCAAAACAAUUUUGUCAAAGCAGAUAUCAACUGACACACAUUCUUUAUUUGGUCGACAGAACAAUGCUGAAUUUAAUCAAAUUCGGCGCAAAUUUAAAAGUCGGUGGCCGGUGGGGCAGUGGCUAGAAUUAUUGCAGUAAGAUGAAAUAUAUUUCGGUAAAGUUAAUUAAAAUAAAACGACAGGAAAUUGCAUGUGCAAAGUUGGAUAAAAGUUGAAGUUCAACUGUGAUGUGAUUUUUACAUCAAUAUUAUACACAGUGCAGUUAAUGCCAUUAGCGAUACCAUCAUCAGCUUCCCAAAUGGGUAGAAAAAUAGUUACUGUAAACCUGCUAAAGUUCAAAGAAGUGAUUGUAUCACUGUCAGUACCACUAUAUAAGCAUUGUGCAAGCUACUGCAUAUGUACCAAUCACUUGUAGAAAUGAUGAUGGAGCCUAAGGGAGGUCGAAUAGCCAGCGGCACUGAGUAUAGUUGGUGUCGAGCCGUGCCAGGCGGCACCGGCAUCGCCGUCUUGGCCAUCCUUACAUCCAAGGUGCCUGAAACCUCCGGGCUUCAAGAUGCCCUAAACAAGCUACAAAGCUACCAUCCAAUACUGAGGUCUAGGCUUCAUACAAACCCUAGCAAAAACACUUUCUCUUUUGUCACAUCCCCUACUACAUUUAUUCAAGUGAAGUCAUUCAACCUCUCAUCAACUUCUAAAAUCUUAGAAAGUUCAGAAAGAUUUUCUAUUGCACCCCUACAACUUAUUCUUGAACACGAGCUUAAUGAAAAUGCCUGGUGCAACCUCAAGUGCACUAGUACAACUGACAUGUUGUACGCGAGUUCUUAUGCGUUACCUGAUGCAAAGUGGGUGGUGGCGCUGCGGCUUCAUGUCGCGGCGUGUGACCGGACAACGGCGGUGUCUUUGCUUAAAGAGUUGUUGUUGGUGCUAGUUAGCGAUGAUGACCAAGAACCAGAAGGGAGAGGGGAGGUUAAUUUGGCAAUUGAGGCUCUUAUUCCUAAAGGAAAGGCUAAAAAGGCUUUGUGGGCAAGAGGAAGGGACAUGCUUACCUACUCAGUGAAUUCACUCAAGUCCACAAAUUUGAAGUUCAUUGAUGCAAAGUCGCCAAGAUCUUCUCAAGUCGUGAGGCUUCAGCUGAACAAAGAUGACACUGAACGAAUACUUCUUGUGAGCUUAAUUUUAUUUAAAAGUACAAUGUUAAUUUAUUUUCUUUAUACCUCGUUGAUAACGAAUUUUUGCAGACCUGUAAGUCAAGAGGAAUCAAGCUAUGUGGGAUGCUGGCAGCGGCAGGAUUAAUAGCUGCACAUAAUUCUGAUAAUCAAAGAAAGUACGCUGUGGCAACCCUCACGGAUUGCCGAUCAAUUAUUGAGCCGCCUCUUUCUAAUCACCGUUUCGGUAAGUUGAUUAACAAUUAGACCUAAAUUAACACGAUUUAGCUCUGUUGAUGAUCUAUCUCUUCGAAGACAAAAAAAGAUUGGCUAAUUUGGUAACGAAUUGGUUUCAAAACUCAGUGUUUCUGUACAAAAUAUUUUUGCAACUAGUCGGUAACAAAUCAUGAUAUUUAUUAUACUGUGAGUAGCAAAAGAAAAAUUGUACACUUUGAGGUUUUGGUCUGCAUACAGAUGGCCCAUGAAGAGUAGGGUACCAUAUGCAUGCAUCUAGGUAUUGAAUUCAAUUUAAUUAGUCAUGUACACAUGAAGCCCCACAUUUUCCAAUUCUUAAGAAUCUGCAAUUCGCCAAGGUUCAUAAGCGUAAUUAAUACCAUAUGCAGUUAAGGUAGGAUUGAAAAACCUCAGUUUUAAUAAAGAGUCAAACUUUGUGGGUACAGCUUCAAAUUUCAGCAUAUCACAUGACUCUAUUCAUUUUAUAAUAAUAUAAUUGUGUAAGGGCAGGCAUCUCCCUCCAUUAAUACAAACUAAGUGUGCAUCUGGUCAUAAAUGAGGGUAGAGGACUAGAUGGGAUGUGGUCGUAAAAGUUUGGAGACUUAAUACAAUUAACUGAAUUAAGUGUGCAUAUGGUCAUUAAAAGUUUUAUUUGUGCAGGUUUUUAUCACUCAGCAAUAAUGAAUACACAUUUGAUCAAAAGUGGAGAAAAGCUUGGGGAUCUAGCCAAGAAAAUAUACACUGCCUUUGUAAAUUCAAAGCAUUGCAACAGGCAUUUCUCAGACAUGGCUGAUCUCAACUUCCUCAUGUGCAAGGCAAUUGAAAACCCUAGCUUGACCCCAGCAUCGUCCUUACGAUCAUCGUUCAUGUCAGUUUUUGAAGACUCAGUGUUUGAUAGUUCUAAUGAAAUGCAGCAACAAGUAGGGCUAGAGGACUACAUGGGAUGUGCUUCGGUUCAUGGCAUUGGCCCGUCCAUUGCGUUGUUCGACACGAUUCGCGACGGACGGCUAGAUUGCGUGUGUGUUUAUCCUUCGCCGCUGCAUUCGAGGGAGCAAAUGCAAGAGCUGGUUGAGAAAAUGAAGAGUGUUCUUGUGCAGAAUGUGGGAUAGCUAGAAAUGCUGAUGUGGUACUUUUAUGGGUUCGUGCUCUAUGUUGGGCACCUUGGGUUAUCUCGUUAUUAUGAUGUUAAAUGAAUUUAAUGUUUACCAUCUUUUGAGCAUUAUUAAUUAUAAUGGAUAAUGUUUUGUAAUUUUGUGAAAUUUUUAUUUUAUGAUAUUUAAUCAGCAUAAAAGAUUAUAUUAUUAAU